Molecule: long non-coding RNA, 2580 nt
Organism: Lolium rigidum
Lineage: Eukaryota; Viridiplantae; Streptophyta; Magnoliopsida; Poales; Poaceae
Exons: 6
Source: RefSeq, a predicted model, not a curated record
CCGGGGCAGGUGCUGCGGUGACGGCUCGCAGGCCGGCGCGGCGGCGAGAAUCAGGAAGGGUGGUGGCGGAAAUCAGGUAGCCGGUCCAUGUCCACUCCGAUUUAGCUUCCUUCCCCAUCCGAUUUGGCCUCCUUCCUCUCCAAUUUUGCAAGGUGAGAAGAACUGUGCUGCAUAUGCUCAUGUUUACUCCAAUUUGACCAGGGGAUCUGCUGUUCAUUUAAUAUGAUUAGAGAAGAGCACACAUACACGAGAGAUGUACAUAUAUUAUCAUGAAUUAGUAGUUAUUACUUUAGGUGAAUCAUGUCUUGCCUUUUCUGAUUCUAGCCUGAAUUAAGUGUGAUAUACGGGUCGCUGUCACCGUCUCCCCAUUCCAGGACUGCCGCACCGUCACCCCAAGGCUCAAAGCUGCACUAGCGAGAUGGUGUUGGUUGGCUCAUCCGCUGCUACCACAUCGGCGUCGAUACCUACUCCUUCCAAUAUGGCCGUGGUUUUCGUCUGCAUUCUCUCUAAUAUAUCCUACAUAUAUUGUUUAGAUUGAUUCAUGGGUUAAUUAAAUUCAAUCAUGCCUUGUUCUGUUCGUUUGCAGGCGAUGAGGUGAGCCUACCAUUUUCUUCCUGCUGCUCUUCCAUACACGAAUAUUUGGGAUGGUAUAACAUAGCUCCAAUUCAAUAUACAGUAAUUUUGAUGAUAUUUAUGUCUGACCAUAUGGGAGUAUGAAGACUCUAAAAUAGUUUUUCCUGCUGAGCUACUUGAAGACCAAAGCAAUUGCACAUGGAACAUUUCGUAUAUGUACUUAACCUUGUCUAAUUUCAUUUGUCACAAUAGACUGUACUGUUCUAGAAUUUCCAUUUUAUAUCACAUGGGUGGGGUUCUUUCAGCAGUAUCAUGCCCUCUUAAGUGCGUCAGAUGUCUGGCUACUGGAAUAAUGUAUAUUUUGCCUUACCAGGUUAUCCUGUAUGUCGGUGAUAAGGUGCAUCAUCAUCCUCUCUGGAGAAUGGUGCAUGAAGAUAUCUACAAAUCUUCCUGCAUGAUCUGAUUCAAAUUUAUGUUUAUUUAAGUUUGCAUACUUUAUUUUCGAAUCUCCCUCAAUCGGGUAGCGCAUGCUAGCUAUUACAUAUGUUGUUCUUACAUUUCUCGGAAUAGCUUUGUUUUACUUGCCUUAGAUCAUUAUUUAUUAUAGUACUUUUAUAGUUAUUUUUGUGCACGGUCUAUAACUUCCUUUAUUUUUUAAUCAAUGCAGCUAUGAAUUACCAUUUUAUGUGAUCCUGACAAGUUAUGACACAGCCUUAAUAAAUCAAGACUUAUCUUUCAGAAAUUCUCUGGCUCCAUGGUGAUUUAUGAGGCCAAGGGUCUUAAAAAGCCAUCAAUUGUAUUAUAUAGUGUCCUCAAAGGCAAUUUUACGAUGACAAGGUGUCUACCACUAGAAGGCAUUCCUAUGCGGAACAAACUUUCUGAACUAUGGGUGUAGAUGCCCUUCUACAUGAUAUGAGUUUCCGGGCCACUAGAUGAGCUUCUUUCUAUUUGCAAGGGAGCGGGUGAUUUGCGAGCAAGUAGGUUGUUCAGUGUGGUGAUGAUUGCGAGCAAAGAGGAAGGGGACGAGGAGGUGAAGAUGAGGGUGGUGGGUGCUCGUCGAUUGUGCCUACCUGUCACCGGUUGGUCUGAGUGGAACUACUGCUGCAAUAUGCAAGCAACAAAGCCAUGCAUAUGAUUGAAAUCAUAUUAAGAUAAAGCAAGGAAGGCUAGAAGAUGCUCUUCGACAACACUGCGCCCUUCUUGGUCACGAGGUGGAGGCGGUGAAGCUGCUCAUACGGGGCGCGUUAGAGCCCUGGUUGCGGCCAAGCAUGGCGAAGAGGGCCUCGGGCGUAGAUGCAGAGCUCAUAAUGGUUGGCCAUGUAUAGAGUGCGAGGGAUGCAUAAGUGUUGUCGGGUCUACCCAAGUUAACACCAAACGCAGGCUUUUCACACAACGAAUGGAAUAGGAAAGCUCUUCCGGAUGGUGAUUUAUUCAUGUGCCUUCCUCUUGUAAUUGGUCAACACAUCCAAGAUUUUUGUCAUGGCAAUUCCUACAUAUGUAUGGCAUCUUCUAAUAAAUUAUCUAAAUUCAGAGCCUAACAAAUAUCCAUACCCUUUGUAUGCAUGUGUCUAAUAGAGUACUACAUAUUACAAGAAUAGGAGGCAGUACACGACUUGUGUAAUCAUGUUCAUGUCUAUUGUCUUAUUAAAUUCGAAUUCCAAGGUUUCUUUGUAGUUUCAAAGAACAAGGACCAUCGAUAUGAACUCUCUUUAUCUGCAUAUACUCUUUAUUGAUGUGUUCUUCCAUGAAGGUUAUCAUGUGAACAAGAGCAAUACCAAGAGCUGCUCCAUUUGGUAUGACUAGAAGUCAAAAUUGAUCUCUAUUAAGUUUUCAAAAUUUUCAUAUGAAGGUAAUAAUAAAAACUAGAAUGAUUCAACGCUUGAUUGUGGACUUGUAAAUCUGCCACAUUAUGGCUUUUGAUAUUUUAUCUUCUGUACAGCAAACGUACACUAUGUAAUCUUGGUUGACGGUUAAAUGUUUGUAAAUCAUGUAAUAUGUUGUUGGACG